GUGUUUCGGUCAUUUUUAAUGAAGUUUUAGAAUCUUGUCGAACAUCAUCGAGAGAUUCAUCCUUGGUGAAGCUUUUUCAGAAGAUUCCCACUGUUUCUAGGACGAGGUGCUUGUUUACGAGCUUCCUGGAGGCGCCAGCCAGGCGAUCAUUUGAAUAUGAGGGCUUUUUAUUUUCAACGAAACAGGCUUUCGAUGGAGAAAGUUCGAGGCGGAUAGAUAGCGUGUCCGUCCAACAUCACGCGCGCGCGCGUGUGCACGAUUCAGUCCCGGUCAUUGCACGCCUCCCUACGGAUCCCGAUUUUUUGGUUUUCGUCCUUUUUUUUUACGGAGGCCUCUCUUCCUCUUCUUUUCGUCUCCCUUUGUGCUGUUUAAUCCUCAGCCCCCCGUCCCGCUGCUCCAUCGCUUCCUUGCACCGGCUGUCCUCGUCCCUCCGCCGCUUCGCCGCCGACGAAACUGCAUCGCGAUAUUUUAUUGGUUUUAUUCGCGGGAACAUCUGGCGCUCGGACAAAGGGAACUAGCCCUCAGGAAAUCUUCAGGAACGGAGGGUGGUUCGUCCGUUUUCGUUAGCCUGGUCGGCUCUAUUUACUUAUACCUAGUGACGUAGAAUGUUUGUAAACAAUGGCUUGGAGGCAGCCGUGAAUCGCCGAUCAACGCCAUCGUGGAUUAGGCUGCUGUUCCUGUCCAUUGAGGGUGGAUAUCUGGAGCGUCCAAUGGUCGACUUGAUACGUUUCUGGGGAAAGUACGAAGACGUUUUUGAAUCAUCGUGCGACAUUUCUGGUGAUGGAAUAUUAACGACGCGACGGAAAGAUAGAGAGAUUCUUGGAAAAUUGGCUUGCAGGCUUAACGUUUGCUAUACGGAAUAACAGGACUUUCACGAUGGGCAAUCUAAGAUCUGCAUUCUCCACUCUUAAGAAUGACCCUUGAAAGGGAGACUCGAGGCGAUUUGCAUACCAGGAUUUAUUGGCUACGUCGGAGCGCCGAUGAUAAUGUGAUCCGUUCGAAUUUACCGAACCUCAGCGUUAUGCCAGCUUUCUCCGUUUUGUAACAUAACGUAGGAUGGAUCCUUACGGGACG
Molecule: long non-coding RNA, 1074 nt
Organism: Bombus pascuorum
Lineage: Eukaryota; Metazoa; Arthropoda; Insecta; Hymenoptera; Apidae
Exons: 6
Source: RefSeq, a predicted model, not a curated record